RNAcentral lists this long non-coding RNA (26261 nucleotides) under Setaria viridis. RNAcentral's name for it is "long non-coding RNA (SVIR_LNC011446)". The record is from RNAcentral. Lineage: Eukaryota; Viridiplantae; Streptophyta; Magnoliopsida; Poales; Poaceae.
UUUUUUUUGUAUCUAGUUUGUGCAGUUUUGUCCAUUGUCCGCAGUGUCCAUAGGAAUUUGAUUUUCAGCAAAAAAGAUGCAACAAGGAAUAAGAGAUAAUUUACCAUUUUGUAAUAAUCUUAAGUAUUGUAGUUUGAUAUUAACUAUGCAUAUUUGAAUGUUGUAAUGUAUAAUAUGAUAUAGCAUUAUUCAAAGAGAUACCAGCAAGGGCAAGCAUGAAUGAAUUUUGUAUGUUCUGGUGUGUUUGGUUAUCUGCUGCCCUCUAUCACCUAAUGGUUAAUCUAGCCCCAGAUACUCCAUAUGCACAUUCUAGGCACCCAGUCUCCAUUUAAAAUGAUGGGUAAGUAUCUCAGAACUUGACCAGAGCACUCCCAUGAGUUUCAAAUUUUAUAACAAGAAGUUAAGCCUCAAAUUCUUUGCAUAAGUACCAGUGCUGGGCGGUUUGCUACAGCCUCCAUAGAUUUCAGAUCCACAAGCGUAUUAAGAAUACUGCCCCUCACGAUUGAAGUACGAAAAAAAUCCAACCAUGAAACAAAAAGUUCCCUAACCUGUCAAAAUUCGAUACUAAACAAGAACACUGAAUGCAUUAAUAAUUUUCAUUCAACCAACUUGUACAUUAUUAACCCAGACAAGGGUACAGAUGCAGGUUUGGAGAAGAAGCAACUUACUGGGCCAAAUGCUCGAGAAUCCCAACUACGAGCAGCAUUAUCACCUUCAACCCAGCAAUGCCCUUCUGGGAUCUUAGUAACCUUAGGGGACCCAGGGAGCUGUAUCCACUCACCAGGAAGUGCAAUCAAUCUCUUCACAAACAACUCCUUAUGAUUGCUAGGGCACCUGCAGACCACACAAGGAACGAUCAGACUCGACUCUCGAGACAUGGAACAAGUUAGCGCAUCAAUCUUUUUGUGGAAUUGCCCCCAUCCUUACUUGAACAAAACCACAUCACCAUGUGAGAACUUGUACUUCUCAAGGCAUCUUCUUUCUGCUAAAACGAAAUCACCUGGUUCCAACACCCUGGUCAGCACAAACGAGAAGACAAACUACUUGAAUAGGGAAGAAUGAACCAACUGUCCAUGACAGCUUGAUAUGUACAAAUUGAAAUCACAAUACCCUGUAAGACACUGUUGGCUGCUGUGAAGGUAGGAUACAUAGAUUCACCAGUCACCGAGACGAAUGUCACACAACGAUCGGAAAUGGUGACGCCAAGUAGAACUGCCAUUACAUUCUUCUUGGCAGUUGACCAAAUAUGGUUGUAGAUUCCCAUAUCCAAGUACCCAACUAUCCAGGCAGUCAUAAAGAUAGCAACAGUAAGUGAAAAUACUGAAUAAACACCAGUACAUCAAUAACUGGGCAGCUAAGACAAUGAACGGCGUAUACAAGAAAUGUGUGGAAGCAGAAAUUCCUCCGGCGGAUUUAACUUGGAGCAUGUGAAAUCAAUCAAGACUUACCAAGAAAUGGGGGUAAGGUUGGUACGGGUGGGUUUCCACUGAUCCAGCGGAGGGACGAGAAGAUUUAGCGCUGGAAAUUCGGAGAAGCAACUGCACUCUUGUACAGUUAUAUUACGGGGUAGAUCGAGGAUGCUUCCGAAGAGGCGCCCGAGAAGAACGGUGGGAUGCUGCCGUCGUCGUCGGCGGCGGCGGCGCGGGCGCGGGGGUUUGGUUUGGGUUGGGCCUGUUCAGUCGGAGAAGGCAGUGCGCGCCCUAGUCGAAAAGAAAAGGCAAAGCAGCCGUCCGAUCGCGCAUCAACGGUGUAAAUUAAAGCCCGUUUACUGGGGACUGGUGAGGGCGUGAGGCUGGGGGUUGGUACGGGUCUGGCUCCAGCCGAGCUGAGCCGAGGGAGGACCCAACUGUGCAUUAGGUCGGCUCCGACUCCGACCCGCAGCCGGCCCUGCCCACAGACAUCGCCCCCUGCCACCGUCGGCGGCGGCGACUGACCCCCGUAGCAAGGCGCCACCGCCACGCUUCGCCCCUGUCGCGCCGCGCGGCCACUUUCUGCGGCUGCUCUACCCCAGGCGAAACCUCCCAUCUCGUCACGGUAAGCACCACUUCUAUCACCGGGCGUCCGCGCCCUGUAUCCGUGCUCUUGGAUUCGACGAAAUCUGGCUUCGCACGGGCUUCUGUAGUAGGGUUUUUGCGUUUCAAAUAACGAAAUUUUGGGUUCGUCACUGGUCCGCCAUGCUGUUGCUUACAGCUUAAGUCACGGCCAUGGAUUUUGAUUAGGGUUUAUAAUAUGGUUUAGCGUCAGCAAAGUCUUGUUAUCGGUGCCUGUCUCAGGAAUAGGGUUUUGCGUCUCGGUAGAAUGUGUUAUUAGUGGCUUAAAGCGGAGCUGAUGAUCAGUUUGCAGCAGCGGGUGGUAGGCUAGAGAAUGCCGUGGAUCCUCAAGUCACAAAUGUGCAAAUUAUCCAUUUGUCCGGAUUUGAUCUGGUUUUAAUUGGGUUUCAUUUUUCUGAGUCUGUGACCUCUGUUCUAUGUUUUAGUAUGGGAUAUUUGAUGCUAUAGUGAUUUUGAUACUGUUAUUAGAAGGAUUGUGGAAUUUAGUUCCAUGAUAUAUGAAAAGUUAUGGUGUCAAUUACUCAUUGCUGUGUUUAUUGAACUUGUUGCCAGUCAAUUGUAUACAAGUUUCUUGUUUUCCCCAAUGCCAUUUUUAGAUUUUUAUCUUAUAUUACAGAUUCAUCCAUUACUUCCAACUCGUUAUAGUUAGGAUUCCCUUUUAUAGUAUAGCAGCAUAGCAGACGUCUGUGGUUCCUUUUUGGAGUUCCAUUGUACUAUUGGAAUUUGUAUGCUUAUUGCUACUACUAAUGCUUAAUGUGCAGCAAAUUUAUAUUAGAGACUUCCUUUCGAUUGCAGACCUUGUUCUGCAGUUCUAUUAUAACAAGUUCAACUGUGGAAUGCUUAUUUCCUUUUGCUAUUGUCUACCUCAAUUUGAUAUUGUUUAUCAUUCUUUUGUGUAUAGAUACCUCAAGUUUCUAGCUACCUGACUGUAUGCAGUAGGAACUACGAUGGAUGGGUCUGAGUCUAGUAGAGGUCGCAGCAAGCAGGAAGUUGAGGAAAAUGUUAAUACAAGGAGCAGUUGGAAGGAGGAACAUGAAAAUCAGGAGAAUGCAGAUAGCAGAAAGUAUUCUGACAGAUCCAGAAAACAUGGAUAUGAAUAUGAAGUUGGGCAUCAGGAUGAUGAUAGGAUGAUCACACCUUCAAAUGAUAGGAAUGAAUCAAUGAGGAACUCAGAUAGAAGCUCAGGCCUGGCCUGCAGUGCUGACGAAGACAUCUAUAAUGUGAGAAAGGACUCACGAUCACCCAAACUUCCAAGGAGAAGCCCUGAUGAUUCCAAGGAUAGGGACUAUGAUAGAAGGAGGGGAAGAGAGGACAAGAAUGAAUGGGAACCUUCAAGAAGAUUUAGCCCCGAUGCUUCUGCUAGGAGUUCCGAGAGGAGGGAGGGUAGCAGGGAGAAGCAACAACGGGACCAAGAGGAAAAGGCUUCAGUCAGGAGGACAGAUGAGGUUUAUGCUGAUGAAAGUGGUGGUUCUCUUAGGGUUGACACAAGAGAAGCCCAAAGGGAUGAUAAAUCAGACAGAGGGAGGGACAGAAGUUGGAAUGAGAAAGCCCGAGAUCUUGAAGGGUCUAAGGAUUAUGGUAGGAACAGUCAGUUGCGAGAUCCUAAGGAGGCAAAUGAUGCUGAAUGGAGAAAUGCACAGGAAAGGCUAGAUGGUGGGAAUUUCCAUGGCCGAGGUGGGUACCGGAGAGAUUCUAGGGGUAGAUCUGAAAGUGUUAGAGGUCCCUCAACCUAUGGGAAUCGAUAUGACAAUUCUGAUUCCAUAGAGAUUCGGCCUAAUAGUAAUCUUAAUUUUGGAAGGGAGGGCUCUGCUUCUGGGAGAAGAUUUGAAGUGGGAGCACAUCGGGAUUCAGUACCAGGAGGAACUGAUGAUAAAUCCACUGAUUAUCCUGAAUCAGAUCCAAGUGGCGGCACCAGCAUGGUUUCUUCAUUUCCUCAACAAGGUCCAAAAGGUGAUAGACCAUCUAGAGGAGGAAGGGGGAGGCCAAAUGGAAGGGAUUCUCAAAGAAUUGGAGUUCCAAUGCCAAUCAUGCCUCCUCCAUUUGGUCCUCUCGGCCUGCCACCAGGACCAAUGCAGCAUAUGGGACCAAAUAUUCCGCAUUCCCCAGGUCCUCCUCUUCUACCUGGCGUCUUCAUGCCGCCAUUUCCAGGACCUCUUGUGUGGCCUGGAGCACGAGGUGUUGAUGUGAAUAUGCUUUCUGUUCCUCCCAACCUUCCCAUGCCUCCUCCAGUUGCUGCUGAACAUAGGUUUACACCAAAUGUGGGAGCUGGUUCUGGUCAUAAUAUUCACUUAAAUCAAAUAGACACUGGGUUAGGUGCUCCAACAGAUGUAUCAGGAUUGGGUUACAAUCAUAUGGGCCCGCAAAGCCGUGACAUGCUCCAUGAUAAACCAGGUUGGACGCCACAUAGGAACAGUGGACCAAACAGAAAAGCUCCUUCAAGGGGUGAACAAAAUGAUUACUCACAGAACUUUGUGGACACUGGCAUGCGGCCUCAAAAUUUCAUUAGAGAACUGGAUCUUACAAGCGUAGCAGAGGACUAUCCAAAGUUGAGAGAACUCAUACAGAGGAAGGAUGAAAUCGUUGCGAAGUCAGCUUCACCGCCAAUGUAUUACAAGUGUGACCUGCGGGAACAUGUUCUUUCUCCAGAAUUUUUUGGUACCAAGUUCGAUGUUAUUCUUGUGGAUCCUCCAUGGGAGGAGUAUGCCCAUCGUGCACCAGGAAUCACAGAUCACAUAGAAUAUUGGAAUGCUGAGGAGAUUAUGAAUUUGAAGAUUGAGGUUAUUCCCGUUUCUUUCUUCAAACCUUUCUCUUUUGGGGGUUCACUUAUGCUGCAGAAUUAACUUGUCAAAAUGUAUUUUUGAAUCAACAGGCUAUUGCAGAUACACCCUCCUUUGUGUUCCUUUGGGUUGGCGAUGGUGUAGGCCUUGAACAGGGUCGUCAAUGUCUAAAGAAGGUAGUAUAGCUGCUAUUUUUUUACUUUUAACUAGCUGGUUGCCCGUGCUGUGCAUCAUAUUUCCAUUAAAAAGCAUAUAGAAUUCUAGGCUCUAACUAUUUGAUUACAUAUAAAAUUAAGCCACAAAGGAACCACAUAUGUAUAAAAUGGAAGGCCCUCUAUGCAUUAUCUUACACACAUAGGUACACACAAUUGCCCAGAAGAUCCAUAUGUAGAACCAACCACUACUAUCACUAACUGUGCUUUCUACAGAAGUAAAGAUACUUGCACAAUUAUUCUUUUUGUAAUGACAUCCCUUUUGGGGGGUGGGAGAUUGAAAUCAGUUUACAGGAGGGCGACCUGGCUGCUAUAGUCGAUCUGCUAAACUUUACCCAUGAUGUGCUUCAUUCAUGCAUUUUGCCCUCUGAGGGAAGGCAUAGCAAUAUAAACAAUGUUCUAUGCUUUCAUUUCAUCUAGAUAUGUCUUUAAAUUUAGAGCUGUUGAUGAAAUGCUGCAUUAACUAAUAUAUGAUGAUCCUGACUGACUUUUUCUAUUUUCAGUGGGGAUUUCGUAGGUGUGAGGAUGUUUGUUGGGUGAAAACGAACAAGAAAAAUGCAACACCAAGUCUGCGGCAUGACUCACAUACAUUGUUGCAGCAUUCAAAGGUAAUGUUGUAGUUAACUAGUAUGUGUUGUAUCAUUGUGCUGCCUUGUUUAUAUUUUUUUGGAAAACAUGCCACGCUUAUAUUCUCUUAUCCCUGUAUUCUCUGUCCGUCUUAUGAAGUAUAUACUCUUUCCAUGUGCAGGAGCAUUGCUUGAUGGGCAUAAAAGGAACAGUGCGUCGUAGCACGGAUGGUCACGUCAUCCAUGCAAAUAUUGACACAGAUAUAAUUAUAGCUGAAGAACCAACUGAUGGUAUUGUUUUCUUAGGUUUUAUAUGAUCUUUAUUCCUGUUCUUCGUAUAUGCUUGUGAUAUACUAUUUGCUUUAUGACCAAGGGUUAUCAUUUUCAAUGAUGGGGUGCAUAAACUCAAUAAACUUAACUUCUCCAAAUUUUCUGUUCUGUUUUCGUUGCUGCGAUGGUAUGAAUAUUCCGGUUUGGUCCACCAAAAUGUAGUACUGUUUUGUAAAUUUGGCUUGGUUGGCAAAAACAUAUUUGUCUUGGCUUUUUAGGAAUUUGGGAUUUACAAAUUAUGUGAAGCAAAUUGUUCGUUGCUACCAUUUCCUCUGGGACAUGCUUAGUUGUUCAUGGUGAGCUUGGUGUCUUUUGAUCUACAAUAAUCAGAAUUGUGAUUAAAAAAAUGAAACUAGAUCAUAUAUUAUUGACUUUACUCAAACACCUAUAGCAAGUAUACCAGUAGGUCUGCAUCUCUUAGUGGUAAUAUCACUAAGCCCUUAUUGUAAUAAUCAAAUUGUAUGCAUGAUUGUGAAUUAUUUUUUUCAUUUUUUUUCGUAUGGUUGAUCUUAAUGUGUUCUCUUCUGUAGGUUCAACAAAAAAGCCUGAGGACAUGUAUAGGAUCAUUGAGCAUUUUGCUCUUGGAAGGAGGCGGCUUGAACUCUUUGGCGAGGAUCAUAACAUCCGUCCAGGCUGGCUUACUCUUGGGAAAAAUUUAUCUUACUCGAACUUCAACAAAGAGGUAUAGCUGGACAUACAACAUCAUGAAUAUACUUACACACGCAAGCCUUUCUAUGCCAUCAGCUCCGCAGAUCUUUUUACAUAGUCUCUGUUAUGAUUUCUCUCUUGCAGACAUAUAUUAGGAAUUUUGCGGACAAGGAUGGAAAAGUAUGGCAAGGAGGUGGUGGUCGAAACCCUCCCCCAGAGGCUCCUCACCUUGUUGUGACAACUCCGGAGAUCGAAAGCCUGAGGCCCAAGUCACCCCCAGCAAAGAACUAGCAGCUGUGGUCAAUUUUGCAGAGCUGGCUACAUUUUUGAAACUGUAGCUUUAACGCUGUUGAAGGUCCAGCUGAGGCCUUGUGAAUUUUCCGUCCGCACAAUUAAAAUUUUUCCGACGGCUCAGUCUGGAGCAACUAUCUGUGAUGGAAAAUACGAUUCACUUUCUCCUAUUGGUGUUCUUUUAAUGCGUCCAAUACUUUUAUGCUCCUCCUUGUUGCUUCAAGGUUGCAGCCAGUAUAUUUGUUCUUGCUGCAUGCCAAGCCCCUCAGAAUAGUAAGGUUGAUUCUAAAUUCGGAUGCUCCCAUUGUGUCUGUCGCAUCGUGCAAGAAACAGAAAUUGUCUAUGCCAGUUUUGCAAAUCGUUUCUGGAACCCUGCCUACCCUGCCUACCUGAUUGAUACUAAGAUGGAGCCAUGGAUAACUAUCCGUGGUAUAGAAAAACCAUUUUUAUUACGGUGUUAUAUUUGGAAGGAAUUCUCUCGAGACAUGCACGCGUACGCUUUCAGACAGGCGCCGAUUUGACAAACCCGGGAUACUGACGAUAGUUUCAGACUAAACAACUCGGCAAGGCGCUAACCUGAUUAGCUAGCAUUACGUUACAGCAUAUGUGCAACGACAGCACUGCCUUGUCCUUUUUAUCGGCCGCAACGAAGUGGAAUACCAACCGUGUGACGCACGAGUCGUUCUCGCCCAGAAGCCAAACCGGACCGUCUCGCCGCCGGAUGAUUGCAAUGCAUCUUUUUUUGAAAUGGUUUACGCGUUGUCCCUGCCGAUGGAAUCUUGCAGGGGAUGGAGAUUUUGCCGCGUGAUUCGAGGGCCACGACGCACGCUCCCAUUGCGGGCCUCCAUCAGCUUCGUUUUGGCCUGGCCCCAAGCUAAAUUAUUCGCCGAAUCUGCUGCUGCUUGUUUGUUGUACUACUACACUAAUUAGGUGAAUUUGUACUACUACACAUUUUGCUUGGAGACGAUAGGCUUCAAUGAAUUGUCUGGAAUUAUUAUCUUGUGUGUCUCUUGUCCUCUCAUGUCGCUGUUGUGUCCUGUACUCCUGUUCUUGUCAGCCCUUUGCUUAGGAUCUUAGCAACAUUACCACUUGGCCGCGAUAUCCCUUCCGAGACAAAUCCUCUAUUAAUGGCUACAGCGACGGAUAAAGCGUAGAAAUCCGGCCAUCCAUCCACUCAUCAUCCCUUCCUCUGCAACACACAAGUCAAUACUUGGAUAUAUCUUGGUUUAAAAAAAUACUUGUAUAUAUACAAAUAUUCCAGCUGCACGCACAACACACGGCUGUACAGUACAGCCAACGUCUCUGUCCCGCUUUUCACCGUGUCUGUCCUCUCCCUCGUCUGCACUACGCUGUCAGCCAUCAAGGAAAAUCACAGUGGCACACUUACUCGGGCAUUGACCUCAGCCUGCAGGGUGAAAACGAUGGCGCCGUGCCGGGUUAACCUCUUCACAGGAUCUGAAACGGCUGCUUGAUCCUGAUGGAGAAAGAAGAAAGCACGGCACACAGUUUGCACGCUGUAGCCUGAAACAACCCUCAGGAAAACGUGCUACUGACCCAUCGCCGUUCAGACGUGCAUGCAAAUUAUUUCGCGAGGCGAUUGAUGGAUGGCGCGCUGCACCUUCCAGGAGCCGAGUUGGUCGGAGAGAGCGCGGCGCAGGACACGAUCGGACGGCCUGGACACGAGAGAAUGGACGUGUUUUUUGUUGGGUUUCUCUUCUCCGGUGUCCCGCUCCGUCGGCUUCGCGGCGGGUUGUUGGGGUUGGGUUCGGUGUGACGCGCUCCGGAUUCUGACGCGCGCGGGUCAGGUGAGGUAGCCGGCCAGGGCUUCCCAAAUUUGUCAGGGAAUCGUACCAGCUGGGUGUCGGGUUCGAAAGAACCGGCAGGGUGAAGGCUACCACCAGCCGCUGCUGCUGCUCCACAAGAUUUCAGCGUCAGGCGGUCAGUGUAUCACUGAUGGAUGGACGCACGUACAGUGAGCUGGGCUCCUGAAGAAUCAUGAGCCUGCCUGGCUGAAAACAGCUCGCAUCGCGUCCUGCUCUGCUCCUGUGCGCGCGUGUUCGAUCGAGAGAAAAAGGAAGCAUAGUAUUUACUAACGGUAGUAGGUAAUGGAUGUGUGGAUCGAUGGAAAUGUACAGAUAGCCUUGACAUUUGCGGCCACAUCUUGCAAAAAUAUCUUCUCAACACUAAGGUUGCACUGGACUGAAACGUGAACUGGGUGUGCAUAUCUAUCUAGCUUGCUGGAUAGAGGGAAUGGCGUGUUCUAACUAACCAAGCUAGCUAGUUCACUUCGCGUACUACAUACAGACUAGGCCGGCACAAAGUUCCAAGAGAUAGGAUGUGUAGGGUGUAGGUCGAGUACCCAUAGCGUACAAUCUCAUGCAUAAUCAAAUCCGGUAACACUAACCAUGGAAAUUAACUUCGGGAGGAUCUGAUGCAUUCCCACGUUUGUCAAUUGUCAAAGAACCCUAAUGAUGAAAAACGUACUAUACUACUCACUGCCGAACAAAUUAAGGAAGACCAUCGACCGAUCAGCUAGCUAGCUGAAAAAUGCAUCCAAACAAGCUGCUUUUGUCAAUGCCUGCUGUUACAGCUUGACUCGAUCAGUCGUCUUAUCGUCCAGAGUAGCUUAAAUUAAAGUACGGCAGCAAGUCAACAAGUGAGGCCAUCACACAGGUAACGAUGAACCGCUUUAUCUUGUACGUACAUCGGUACAUGUACAUCACCCAGCAGGUGCCACGCAUACCACGAUCCCAAAAACCCUACUACACGUCGUACGUACGCGAGCAACAGUGUCCAUGCAUGUAUCCAUCGAUCUCAACAUCUGGGAAAUGCUUGUGUGGUCGUCUGUGCUCAUGGUCCAAAGUCCAAGCCGUAGCCUUCAACCGAUCCCUAGCGGGAGAUGAUUGAGCAGCGACCAUUCCACUGCUGCUGCUGGGGAAAGCAUCCUCAGUAUCGGUUUCUAAUCCCCUUUUAUUACUGGUUGUACAACCGGUAUUGCUACUUCGGUACUAAAGGGUACUAGUACCGGGUCAAAUAAUCGGUACUACAGGAUAUUAGAAAAAAUAAAAAAAGAAAUCCGGCCGGCCGCCUGGCCCUGCAUCCCGCUGGGUGCACCCGGCUGCGCCGCCACCGCGCCUCGUCGGCGCCGGCUACCCCUCCCCCGCGACCCGCAUCCCACUGGUCGCACCUCGCUGCCCCGCUGCCGCCCCGCCGCCUGCCGACAUCUGUGGCCCCGCCGGAUCCGGCCGGCCGCACCUCGCUGCCCCGUCGGUCUGGCAGCCGCCAGAGCCUGGAGCGCCGGAGCUUAGGCACGGUAGGAGGGAAGGGAGGGGAGGGGAGGUGCGGGGGAGGGAGAGGGGCGUGGUGGCGCCGCCGCCGUCAGCCCCGGAGCAAAAAAGAAAAAAGAAAAUACCUAUGCCCCGCGCGUCGCCGCGUCCGGCCUGCAGCAGGCCCCUGCACCCCGCCGCCUCCGGCUGGCCGCUGCUCCCCCGCGCGCUGCUGCACCCCCGCACGUCACCGCUUCCUUGCUGUCGCUCCUCAUUGCCCUGCACCUCGCCGCGCUGCCACUACUCACUGCCAGUGAGGGACGAGCAGAGGGGGAAGGGGAGGGGCAGCAGAGCUGGCUGGCGAUUGAGCAGAGAUUGGGGGAGCGAGAGAGGAGGGGGCGAGGCCUGCGGCGGGAGAGGGGGCGGCUGGGGAGAAGAGAGAAGGGGAAGAGAUAAGUGUGAGAGAAGAGGAGAUAAGUUUGAGAGAGAAGAGAUAAGGAGGCGGGUGGGCAGUUAGUACCGGUUGGGAGCUACAACCGAUACUAAAGGUUGCACAUUAGUACCGGGCUCAGGCACAUUAGUACCGGGUGGAUGGGUGACCUUUAGUACCGGUUGGAGCCAACCGAUAUUAAAGGGGUCACGGGAGGCUCUUAGGGAACUAGCCGUUAGACACGGUACUAAUGCUCACAUUAGUACCGAGUCAAAAAUCAACCGAUACUAAGGGCCAGAACCAAUGCUCAGUUUUCCAGCCAGCGAUUUGAAAGUGAAGCCGCAGCAUAUGAUGGAGUGCUGGGAGAGCGAGAGCAUUACAUGUGCUGAUAGAUGGUGUGAAUGGAGGGAAGACUUCGCAGGGAGCUAGCGAGCUAGCUGCAUGCCGUCGAAAUCGAUCGGAGGACCAUGGUUUCGUGGCGUGCAAUUAUUUUGGCGAGGCGACUUGUGAACGCAUUCAAUGCGCGGGCACCAUCUACUCCCAGUAUAGCUAGCUUAUCGACGACGUGCAUCAGUGCCUGGCUGCAACUGGCAUGCUGUACGCACUUGCAAAUCGUAACGCUGACAAUUCGGUGUACUAAGUGUAUCUACAUCUAUAUAUAUCGGUAGUAGGUCGAAUAGGAGUAUAAGACACAUCAAUUACAUCGUACAGCCAACAGAAUUGGUGUGAUAUAUAACACGUGAGUACGUGACAACAAAGACAACCACUCUGUCGUCUGAAAUUGCAAGGGUGGUUAUUUCAAUUCUUUAGAAAAAAGGAGCAACCAUUAUUCUACUGCCACAUAAUUUUUGCGAUACAAGGUUGAUGCUAAUAGAUUUAUAUUUUAAAAAAUACUUUCUUACAAAUACACAUUUAUAUUGUGUAAACAACAUAUUAAUAGAGUAAUUGUUGGAUAUAAAUAACUAUCUUACUAGAACAUGAAGCUUCAAUCAUGUUCUGAAGUCAAGAGCAGUUAAAACGGAGGAAAAACUGCAGUACACGACGAGGCCGUGGACGAAAUCAUGCAGCUGCUUUUUCAGUGCUGAGGUGAUAUCCAAAUACACGCAUUGAAACUCGUGGGGACGAGCAUCCAUAAAUGCCUUCCCACCUGGACAAGCACGCGACCUCGUCCGCUUGCCCUUGAUCCUACCGAAUUAUUUUUUUAUUUUAACCCUUUUACAUCUAAAAUUUUGAAAAUAACCCCACCCAAUCUAAAUUACCAAAAAUUAGCGCUUUUGGUCGCGCUAAAAGACAUGGUGCGACUUAUAACAGAGUCACGCCAUAUGCAAUGGUGUGACUAAAAUACCACAAUAAAAUACCACAAUGGUGCGGUCACGCCAGCAUGUAUGGCGUGACCAGCGUCGAGCUGGUUGCAGGUUGCUAGCAUGUGUAGUAAGUGCAAAAAAAAUCAGUUCACUUAACCUUAUUUCCUUUUAUACUUUAAUUAGCUAAUCAGCACUUAAAUUCUCCAAACUUGGUAGACAUAAUACAUAAAGUAUACAUGUUCCAUUUUAAGUGCUUGCACUCCAAAAUAUGAUGUAAAUAAUGAAAAAUCCUAUUUCAAAAUAGUCUAAGAGUUAUUGUUUCCCAAGUGGCUGAAAUGUCUGUGUUGUGGAUAUGUUAUCAAAUAGCCAUGUUGAGGGGUGUGGAUUUUUGGAUUUUGGCCAAACACUCCAAAUUUGGACAACAUGAAAGUUGGAGUAGAAAUUAUACACAUUGUCAUAGAAAGAUUAUGGUUCAACGAUCUAGAGCAAUGAGAGUUCAAAGAUCAAGUCCAAGGUUGCAAAUUAUCCCAUUUUCAGCCUCGACGGGAAAUCUCACCGAGUCCUGGAAACAGUGAUAACUAUGCUUCUUUGGAUUAUGUUUUAAAAAGAUUUCAUGUAUCAACUUUAGUUCACCUGAAAAUUGAGUAGGAAUAUCGGGAUUUGGGAAGUUAAGAAGGACCAAAAUGGAGACUUGAUUAUUUAUUUUGGAGCCUAAAGUUUGAACUUAUCACUAUUUUUAACCAUGACAGGAUAUCACCGAAACUCUGAAGCUAAGCUCGAGAUCACUUAACCUAUUUAUAAAUUGGAUACUUCAUUUUAUACACCAUAUUUAGAGUACCAACACUUAAAAUGGAAUAUAUACACUCCAUGCAUUAUACCUGACAAGUUUGAAGAAUUUAUGAUCUCAUUAGCUAAUUAAAAUAUAGAAGGAAAUAAGGCUACUUAGAAAAAGGCUAGCAAGGAGCUUGUCAUGCCAUACUUUGGCGUGACUGACCGUCACACCACGCAACUUGGCACGUCAGCCCCACGUGGUGGCCGCGCCAUCGUGGGAUUUUAGUCACACCAUUGCAUGUGACGUGACUCUGUUAUAAGUCGUGCCACGGCUUUUGGCACGACCAAAAGCGCUAGUUUUUGCUAAUUUAGAUUGGGAGAGGUUAUUUUAAAAUUUUAGAUUUAAAAGGGUUAAAAUAAAAAAAUUCUGAUUCUACCGGGGUCGGAAUGGAUAGAAUUUAAUUUGGUCAGGGAUCCAUACUGCCAAUAAUCAUACAACUUGGAGCACUUUGUUUUGGAGCUACAGUACUACUAGAACUCGAGGGCAGUCGCAAUGGCAGUCAUCUCCAUGAUCGCACCGUGAGAACUCGAGGGCAGUGCACAUGCCGGUGUUGGCGGAUUCACAUUCAGAACUUUCAGAUGAUGAGGUUCCGGCAUGAACGAAGGGAUUGGGCAAAAGCAGUAAGGGGAAGCAGGGUUGGAGCUAGAAAGUCAUUUUUCCGUUUUUUUUUGGGAGGGCGCAAUUUUUCUUCAAAAUUUGAUCAAAUUCAAAAAUUUAAAGGACCAUGACUAAAGAAGGCAGAUUCUGAAAUACUUCUGGAAAUAUAAGGUUCAUGUUAAUAAUAGAUUCAUCAUGAAAUACACUUUCACAAUAUAUAUAUACAGCAGUCAUUUCUAUUUAAAACAACAGUACAGUUUUUACACAUAUUUUUUGAGCAAAUGUUUUUAUAAAAUAUUUGCACAGUUAAAUUGACACAUAAGAGAUCGCGUCGAUGAUGUCUAGAUGAACUUAUAUUAAUGAUCAAGAUGAGCUAUUAGGAAAGCGGGGGAGCAUACACGAAGCGAAACAGAAUCUAGUUGAGAUGGUGCCAAUAGCAAAUAUUUAGAUAUGCACACUGAGGCAUCGAUCCCUACUAAAAUUAUCAGAUAAAGAGCAAACAAAAUUUCCUACAUUUAGCAUAUCCAAUCAAUCGAUCGUCUAUAUCAUAGAGCAAUCAUCAGAGCCGUCGAGAUGACCCAUUUGAGCUCAUUACGACAAGACCGAAGAAAGGAAAAUAAACCUAUCAACUUCUUCUAGUACGUACUACAAAAAAAAGUUUGUUUAACAUUUGUAUCGUUUAAGCAAGAGCAACAGCUAGCAUGAUUGAAGCUUCCUUGCUUUUUGCCGUUGCGGAGAUGACGUGGUGCUUAAUGUGCUAAUUAACAUUGGACAGCAAAGAUUGUUAGAUUAUCACAAUCUCAUCAGCUCCCUCCUCCUCCUCUGCCUUCGUUCGCACGCCUUCGUUCGUACUUGGAACCUAGGAUACACAUACACGCAUCUAUGCUGUGCCUAUGCGUGCGUCAACCGAUCAAAAUUCAGCAAAUAAUUAAUACCGGGACAUGAUUAGCAACGAUUAUAAAGACAUUUUACUGCAUUGAUCCUUCUCUCUGCCAGCCGGUCAAAUAUCCAAUCCGAACGAACGUCGUUGAUCUGAUGCAGUGCCAUCAUGCUCGCUUUACGGGGAAAAAAGCGCAGCCAUCCACCAGUUCAUGUUCAUCCAUGGAUAGAUUCUGCCGCAAUGCAGGCACGGAUUAUCCUUCCUCAUCCAUAGCAUUAAGAUGGUCAUCUUCCCCAUUAUCUAAAAAAAAAAGAUGGUCAUCUUCCCCGGCCGGCCCUGUUCAUCGGCUCUUCCAGUUGAACAGUCCCGGGUCCCCCACCAAACACAAAGCGAUAAUCCAACGCGAUUAGUUAGGUAAACCACGCGUUGUUAAACCUUAAUGAGCCCGCCUGACUUUUUUUACCCGCACCACGUACCCAGGGUCGCAACGCACGCAUACGACCGGCCGACGGCGACACGGCUGCGGAUGGAUUGGGCGGACGGCGACGAGCCAACCGUCCUGGCUCGUCCCCGGCGAGAAAGGGAUCGGAUUCAUACGAGCUAGUAGCUCUUAAGCUGUGGUGCUGCUGCUGCGAAUGAAGCUGCGGCGUCGCUGUCGGCGUUAACAGGGCCGUGGACCGGUGGCGUCCGUACCUACAGAGAUCGCGCCCCGGCGGCAGAUCGAUUCAUGGAGCUGCUGGCAUUAGAAAAAAGAGCGCGGGCGCGGCGAGCCUUUGGUGGCCGCACACGUACGUCGCCCGCCCCGCCGCGCCGCUUAUUUAAGCCCGGCGUCGUCUGCCUCACUUCACCACCACCACCAAGCAGCCGCAGCCAUCCACCGGCCUACCAGCGCAGCGCUGGACGUAUAUAAACAAGCCUGGCCGCCUCGUACCAACUACGAAGCAGGUAGGCGCGCGCACGACAGAUUGAGCACCGUGCGCUCGCCAGCACAAGAGAGUUUGGUGCCGUGUUGGGCGGCAUCGGUCGGCCGGCCGGCGGCCAUCAUAUCGGAGGAUAGUCAGCAAGGCGCAAGCUGAAGGGCCGGCUGCUACGCGGAAUCGGGGCAUUGUGUAAGUUCCUUCUGUAUAUCUCAACUCCUACUUCGUCCGAUCCUUGCUGGUUCUUGCUUUGCUUUCAGGCAUGAAUGGUAAGAUAGGGAUGUGUUAUGUGACAUGAUAUAUAGCAAGGUGCACUUGCCGCCGGCCUGCUAGGUUUGUAUGCAUUUGUAUCCGUGAGAAGGAACGCUUUCAUAACGUACAUAUACACGUACGCGUACCUACCUUUCUUUUAUUUGACCUCGUAUAUGUGUGUAGUACUCCGCAGCUUCAGCCUUCAAUCUCUUUCAUCAGUCUAUCCCCUGAACCGAUCGUCAUCAGAGUAGAUGAUGGUGAUCUCGAAUUUGAAGCCGGCCGGUCUGAUAAGUACAAAGUACUAGUAACUGGAGUAGCCAAAGAAGCGAGCGAGGAGUAGUGCACAUGUUUCGAAUCCAGCGUACGUACACAGCAAGCAGUCGUCGCGGCUGGACUGAAACGCUCAUGUGUGCAUACGCGCUUGACUGUACUCGGUGCGCACAUAUACGUACGUCUCGGUAUGUGCAUGCGCGAACAAGUUGCAGCACUACAUGACAUAUCCUGAACUAAAGCCAGAUCGCACUAGUAUAGAUCGUACAUGCAGUAUAAAUAGUUGCAGCACUAGAGUAGGAGUAGUUCAUAGUGGAGACUGGAGAGACAUGGGUGCAGUACUGGAGCCGGCACUACCAGAACAACAUGCACGGGUCGAUCGCCAGCAACUUGGGACGGGAUCACGGGGACACGCACACGCAUACGGCAUACAUGUCGCCAGGGCCAGGGCAAUGAGCUAGCGCCCGGGCAGAACUUGUUGGAAGCACGAGUACUUCAACAUCCCCGGCUCCCUGUCAUCAGUGAAUUUUCGAUCCAAAUGGGGGCACCAAUCAUCCAUUCACAAUAUUUGACAAGACAGCUCGAAGAUUUUGUGCACAAAAAAAGAAGAAGAAAACAGCAUCAGCCACAGGUACAGUAACAGUGCAAAAAAUCAACACCAUUUUUUACGUUUUUUUUUCUGUCAACACGGGAUCACUGCGGUGGUAGCUAGGUAGGUAGGCGUAGUUAUUUUGAGGAGAAUCAGAAGGCAUCGAUGAUGUGUCCUGGGCGGGCGGAGCAACCGUGACAGGCAGCAGAUCGAAAUCGAACCGAAGCUUAUCCCUGAAACAAGUUGACAACCCGGGCCUUUUUUCGCGGUGUUCCUUGAAGCUGCUGCUGCGAGUCUGCAACGAUCAACUUUUUAUAGCUCCCAAAGCGACGGCCACGAAGAAACCUGACACCAUCUUAUCCUAUCCCCCUCUCUCUUUCCCAGCAUGUGAUUGAUUGCACGGACGCGGGCCUCAGUUGGGCCAAAAGCCCGGACUUGGUGGACGGCUGGAGGUUGGUGUCGGUCGCAGGCUGAUCCGAUCGAACGGUGAUGCGUAGCCCUGAUGCUGGCUGUUGUGCUGCAGCAACUUGCGGUACUUGUAGGUGAAUUGUCCCGGUCUGAUGUCGUUAGGGCACUUAUGAAACACACCACAUGACCUUGUCUUCAAAUCAAAUCAGACGACGCGCGCGGGCGAUUGAAUUUGACGCCGCCGCCCUAGCUAUCUGGGGGAUGGAGGCAUCAAGCUCUGCAUCUCGUCUCUGAUCGAUCACUGUUCUAGCUAGGUUUACUGGCAUGCAGUGAAGCCACAGGACAGUAGGCUAUCUAGCUGGUCGGCGUUGCUGACAUGCAAGUUCAGGGCUUGCAUCGGUGGCCACUUGCCAGUGUUUUCUCUUUCAGUUCAUGGGUCUGGCACUUCCAAGUUUCCAGCAGUGUAGUGUGCCACUAGGCUCCGUGCUCUGCCUUUUGUUUAGACAGGGUAGGUCAUGUGCCCAAGCUAAAUUAUUUUUUUUCCUUCAUCUGAUCUGUGGCUGUCCACAAGUUUAUUGACACGUGGCUCCGCUCUUUGCCACUAUUGAGACUGCAAAUCUCUUUAAAAAAAAUACAAGCAGAUGACAGAAGGCACCAUCUGAGGGAGCACUGUUACUAGUGGACACUGUACUGGGUCUAACCGCACUUUUAAGACCUCAUCACAGCUGAUGCCACUAACGUCAACCCAUCCCUGUCAGUCAGUGCAACCGACGCUUGAUGAUGAGCUAGACUAGAAAUAAAGCUUCGUUUCAAGUGCCGGAAUUUUCUCUUAUUCCUGUAGGAGUGGAUCAUAUUUUUCUUCUUUUCCAAGCAUAUGUCCUUAUAACUAUGACAGGUUCCUUGUACAGCUCCUACCAAAAUCUAAAAUUGAUCAUUGUCCAUAGAAAUCCUAUUUUUAUUACACCGAAAACGUGUCGCAUAGGGUGGUAAUGGAUCAUGGCCCCAUAUCUUCUUCACAAUCCAAUUCAGCCCUACGUUCAAAAUCAUAUCAUAUUAUGUGAUCCGAUCUUUAUUGAGCCUGAUCCUUUACCUCUCCUAAGUAGUAGGAGUACUCCUAUUUCCUCGUAAUCCCAAUAUCUCCUUUUUAUUCUCCAGAAAAGAUUUUUCAUAAUUGCAUUUAUUCCCCGGACCGGAUAUAUACCGGGGGACGUAAAGCAAUCGAUAUUGAUAGCUGCCCUCUAGUUUUGUCGCUUCAACCGGACGCGUUUUCUUGGAUCUGAAGAAAUGGGCACCAUCAGCAGGAAUCCAAUUCAAACAUCAGUCAGCUGGGCAAACUCCCACGCGCUAAAUUCCAAAUCUGAAACAUCAAAAAUCUGGGUUCCGUCUCUAAUCGUAGUUCUCUCAGGAACCGAAUAACGGAUUCACUAGCACGGGAAAAGGAAAAAUGCUAGGUGUACUCUGAUGACAACAGCUCCAUACGAAAAUUGAACCAGUACCCAACACAAAUUCGACCGUUACUUUCCAUGACAUGCCCCUUUUAGAAGUCGACCAAAGUUUGGUGAUGUGAGGGCAUUUUGCAUGGCAAAUCUAUUAGUAGUCUCCUUAUCCAUAUUGCAAUGUAUAGUUUCAAUAGAAAAUGGUCUUCAGAAAUUAUUUUUUAUGUUUAUUUUCUCAUACAAUAUAUUCUCAAACUUAGGAUUUUGCACCAGAAAAACACCCGAUCCUAUAUCCCGAAAAGAGUCGCGAGAGCAACAUGAACUUUUUUUAUGUUUGCGACGCUCAAUCUUGUCCCAACUUACUAAAAAGAUUGUUCACGAUACAAAAAGAAGAGCAAUUCCUUCGACAAGAAAGCUAAAUAGGCUAUCCAUGAAUUAAUCCAGUUUAUUAGAUGCACUUUGAUCCACGAAUUAAAAAAAGGUUAUCCAGGUACAACCUGUCCAUAUAACGUUCAAGUAUAGUCGGAGGCAGUAGCGAAUUAUGUUUCUAUACUUAGGGUAUGUUUGUUUUCCUCCUAAAUUAUAUAAGUUGGAUUAUGGUCCAAGGGUAGGAGGAUAAAAAAUCAUCACGGGACCGCUAGAGGAUCACAAAUAAUCUGAAAUACGCUAGUCUUGGAUAGCUUAUUUCAAAUUAUACAUGAUCCCAAAGUAAUAUUUUACCAUAGUACCCAUGACCCAUAAUCCAACUUAUUAUAAUCCUAAAUAAACAUGGCCUUACAAGAUCAGAGAACAAACAUAUCCUCUAGACGAAAAUAAUCACCCAUUACCCAAAAAACGGGAGCUCCGGCUGAGUACGCGUAGUAAAAUGCCAUCCUAGAGCCCCACUGCAUGUGGGACCCUUGACCCAAGUCCACCACAUCCCGUGAAAGCGGAGGAGGCACUGCCCUCCCCCACACGCCCGCCCACACGGCUCCCAUGGCGACGCGCCCCUAUUUAGCCGCCCCCACCUCCAUGCCUCCAUGCCCACCACCGCCACUUUAUUCUCCCCUCCGCUUCCACCAAUCCACCACCUCGUCCUCCUCCUCCUCUAGCAGCCUGGCAGCACUGUGGACUAGCCGCCCUCCCAUCCGAUCCCCUACUCGAAGGUGAGCAGCCCUGCGCCCAUGCCAAAUUUCUCUCGCAAUCCGAUCGUAGCGUAGCACACAAAUACCCCUUCUUGAUACCGGUGCCUUGCGUGGAUUUGUGCCGGAUCUUCUGUCUUCGGUAAGGCCGGCUCUAAUCCACUGCAAAACCAGUUUGAUCUGCACCGAAAUCUUGUAGGGGGCAUGUAGGGUUCUAGUGUUUUACCUGCUUGUUCUAGUCGUAGCAGCAGCUGUCCAAAAUCUUGGGAUCCUUUUGGCUUUAUUUGUACUGACUGUGUGAAAGCUCUGUAUUGAUAAAGGCUUUUUUUUCUCUCGCUUGAAUUGUUGCAGGAUACACCGUGAGUAGGCGUGAUGGUGCUUGAUACCAAUACGUGUUCCCCGUUUUCGUGCAGUCUAACAUCGUUUCAUGCUAAAUCGCAUUAGUUUAAUGGGACGAAUACACUACUUCAUUUGAGAUCAUUGCACAUCCUUUAAGAUUUUAUUCUCUUUUCUUUUUUUAGCAAUAUUACUUUCUAGCUCUUUGGUUUAUGUCCAACAUUUUUGUGUCUGCUCCAAUUUUGCAGGGUCUUGAGUUAAUUGGUUGGGCAAGGAGGUGGUUGAUUCCAGCAGGACCCUUCUCGUGAGCCUAGUCUGACCGGCCUUGGUAUUUGGGGGUUGUUCUGUACUCUCUUUAAUUUGUGAGUUGUGACAGGUUCUUGAAGUGCAAUUGUUAGAGUUUUAGUUGUAGCAGAAGAGAGAAUUUGCUAAUAUGGCGUUGGCAGGGACUUCCAAAGUAGUGCUGGGAUGUAUCGCCUUUGGGAUUUUCUGGGUGAUGGCUGUCUUCCCCACUGUCCCGUUCAUGCCUGUUGGACGGACGGCUGGGUCCCUCCUUGGUGCUAUGCUAAUGGUCCUGUUCCGUGUCAUCUCCCCGGAGGACGCAUAUGCUGCAAUUGACCUCCCGAUCAUCGGCCUGCUCUUUGGGACAAUGGUCGUCAGCAUCUUCCUUGAGAGGGCUGACAUGUUUAAGUACCUCGGUAACCUGCUCUCAUGGAAGAGCAGAGGUAGCAAGGACCUGCUCUUCCGAGUUUGCAUUGUGUCUGCCUUUGCAAGCGCACUUUUCACCAAUGACACAUGCUGUGUCGUGCUCACUGAAUUCAUCCUCAAGGUUGCUAGGCAGAACAACCUACCACCACAGCCUUUCCUUCUGGCCCUUGCCACUAGUUCAAACAUCGGCUCUGCUGCGACGCCGAUUGGUAACCCUCAGAACCUUGUCAUAGCAGUGGAGAGUGGGAUUUCAUUUGGUCAGUUCCUGCUAGGAGUUUUCCCAGCAAUGAUUGUUGGGGUUCUGACAAAUGCUGCUAUCCUCCUUUUGUACUUCUGGAAAUACCUGUCUGUGGAGAAGGAUCAGGAAGGUGGGCAACCAGAAGGGCCAGAGGUUGUUGCCGACGAUGAGGUUACCUCACAUCGGUUCACACCGGCUAGAAUGUCACAUGUUUCUUCCCUGAAUCCAGAUGAUGUGGAUUGCAUAAGUGAACCAAUCAUCAGGAGCAACAGUGUCAGUACCAGUGUGAAUGAGAACCUGAGGAGCAGAAGCAUCAAUUCUGAGGCUGACAUUCAACUCGCCAUCAAGUCUCUGCGGGCAUCGAGCAUGUCACACGAGAUGGUAGAGGUCUCGACGGUUCCUGAUAGGAGAGAUGAAGGUGCAUCCUCAAGGAAGUUCACUAGAACUGCUAGCCAACAAAGGAGUGUGAUAAUAGAGGACCUGCCACCCUCCCCUGACACCAAUGGGGAAAAGGACAAAGAAGCUGAAGUUGCAGAGAAAAGGUGGAAAAUUCUUGUGUGGAAGACUGCUGUUUAUCUUAUAACUCUCGGUAUGCUCAUUGCACUUCUAAUGGGGCUUAACAUGUCCUGGACUGCAAUUACUGCAGCUCUUGUUCUUCUGGCACUUGAUUUUACAGAUGCACAGGCUUGCCUUGAGAAGGUAUGUUCCUCAAAUUUUGAUCAAUGCUUAGAGAGUUGAUACUUUUCUUAGCAUGAAUGAUGAUCAUCUUCUUGACUUGCAGGUGUCAUACUCAUUGCUGAUCUUUUUCUGCGGGAUGUUUAUCACGGUUGAUGGUUUCAACAAAACUGGCAUCCCGAACACAUUAUGGGAGUUAGUGGAACCAUAUUCACGAAUUGAUAGUGCCAAAGGUGUUGCACUUCUUGCGGUGGUGAUUCUUAUCCUUUCAAAUGUGGCCUCAAAUGUUCCCACAGGUACUUUUUCUCAAAUUGAUUUCUUUUGGGCACUAUUGGAAAUUUUAUGAACACGGCCAUCUGUAAUCAUUUAAUACUUUAUAACAUAUAUGCUAUUUUGUUUAAGAAAUCUGUUAUAUUGGUAUUUUAGAGGCUGUGUGCUCAUAUGGCCUUCUGGUCUCUCUGUUCUUUUCUGGUGCCUAGCAUGAUUAAAGGAACUGGAAUAUUACUCUAGCAUUUGGUGCGCAAAACUGAAAUUUGUACAUCAUUUGCAAAAUUUGUACAGAAUUAAACUGAAUUGCCACAACAAUUCAUGAUCCACAAAGAGGAACACUGACUUUAGUAAGACUUAAAAUAUUUGUAGUGCUUUAUCAGAGUACUUUCUGUGCUGUAAAACAUUCAAUCCUGAGCCUAUAUUUGUGGAAAGUAAUCAUGGAAGUUAUAUUGUUCUCACAGAAAUAGGUUUGAAGGCACUUAAUUUAUCCAAACCAGAGAUCUAUAUAUUAUACUGAACUGAGCAACUUAUGGUCUUUUAGUCUGUACUGUACUUCAGAACUCAGAAGUUUGCGAGAGUAAUUAGAUCCAGCAUGUUCAUCCUAUAUCGGAACUUUUCUUUUCUUUUUUCAGUAUUGUUGCUCGGUACAAGAGUGGCUGCAUCAGCUGCCGCAAUUUCUCAUGGUUCAGAGAGGAAGGCCUGGCUCAUUCUUGCAUGGGUCAGCACCGUGGCUGGGAACCUCACCCUCUUGGGUUCCGCCGCGAAUCUGAUCGUGUGCGAGCAGGCCAGGCGAGCCCAGUUCUUCGGCUACAAUCUCACCUUCUGGAGCCACCUCCGAUUCGGGGUGCCAUCGACCAUCAUAGUCACGGCGAUCGGGCUGCUCAUCGUCAUCAGUUACUGAAGUCAGCUGAAGGCAGGCGAUAGUGUACGAGAAGCAGAACGGAUAAAUCCAUCCAAUAAGAAAUCACAUGUAAAAUAGGCUUGUAACUCUCGUGUGUGUGUCAGUAUGUGUAUGUCUCCGUCUGUGUUCUUGCUCAUUUGGCGCUGCUAGCAGACUGCAGAUAGCUGACCGUGUAGCCUGCAUUUUCAUUCCUGAACGGAUGUUGCAAAUAGGGUUAAUGAAGAACGGUAUGAUAAUCUGAUUGCUGAUUUUGUGUUCUAGAUGCUUAACCGUGAGUUUCUCCAAGCUUGUGUUUCGAUUUCUGGAGCAAAGCGUUUAAAUAGUUCGUUUCCGAAGCUGAAACUCUGUUAACUUCUGCUUUCAAAUAAAAAAUCCGAAAGUGAAGUUUGGGCAAAAAUUGGAAGCAGCCCAUCACCUCAUUGGGCUUAUUGUGCCCAACAGCUAUAACUUUCGCCCACCCACCACUAAGCCUAGGCCCAGCGGAGAGAUCCUUUGCAGUUCGCCCAUUCCCGCCGCCGCCGCCGCCAUCGUCAACGCCGACAGGUCCACGAGCGCGGCGCCCGCGGCGAGAGGAUCAUCCUUCUCCGCCGCGAUAGAAGUGGACGCGGAGAGGCCUCAGUUCGAGCCUUCUUCGAGGCGCUGAUGCCAAGCGAGAUGAACGGCGGGAGGCCCCAAUCCCGGAAGUAGCCAGUGCCGAUCCACCGGUUCGCGCCGCUGUAGAGGUGUCGGAUGGAGAAUUGGAGAUAUACACUCCCGUCAACGGGCACAUGAAAAUCGACAUCCGCAUGAACCUUAAGGUGCGUGGCGUGACCUUGUGAUUUGUGCUUGUGCUUUUUUAUUUGAGCGUGAAAAGCGUCUGGAGUUGUGGUUAUCCUUGCAUCAUGGAUUAUAUGAGUCUGCAAAUCCUUAAUUGUCGAUUAGACAACUGUUCGUGUAAUUUUGUAGGAUGAUAUCCCAACGUAGAAGGUGCAUAUUUGACGAAUGCUCAUAUAAGCUGAAGUAUAGAACCAGCAUUGUAGAUGAUGGUGUGCUGUUGUUAUUAUGAGGAUGGAAUUUGUGGACGGGCUGAUAAAUUCGAUCAGUGUUGGAGUAUCUGUGCUGAAGGGAUAAAAUUCAGUAGUAUAAUGGAUCCAGCUUUGCUGCGAAUCCGAAACAAGUAGUGCAAAAAAUAAUUCUAAUUGUGGAUCCCUUCAAUCACUUCUGCCUGUCAUGAACAUAGUUAUUCAGUAAGGGGUUCCAACUUCAUUUUUAAAAUGAGCAAGCACAAAUAUUCGAAAGGAUAGCUCAGUACUUGUUCACAAAUACCAUCAAUCAUUAUUUUGAUCUUCAUAGAUAUGCAUGACAACAGAACCUUAUAUUUUGAAUAAUGAAAAUACUUUCUUUGUUGAAUUGUUGUGAGCUGUCAUGACGCUUUGGUUCCAUGGAUUCCUGUAUUAUCCCCUUGUUUUUUUUGUUUUAAGUGACGAUAUCACCAAUGCUUGCAAGCCUAGACCUCCUGACUACUGUUUCCUGAACGAAUUGUCAUUAUUUUAUUUCGUAUUCCUUAACCGCUCUGCUGUAUGAUUAGGCCAUUUCCUACGAAGCAAACCCAUUAAAACAAUAACUAUUUCGUCUACCUCAGGCAGGAAGGGCAGAGCUGAAAACAAGCAAGGCACACCUGACGUGAGCAACCUGCAGAAAUGCUUGGACUUCUUCGUGCAUGCAUUCAUGCUUGGAUUCGGCAUUCGGAUGCCAUCGCCUUACGACCUUUACGUGGAUUCAUUCGAGGUAAAAGGACGUGAAGAGGCUCCGAGGGGAAGGUAGGCAAGACCAAGUAUAUGCCGUCGAGGACUCGACCAGGCCAGGACGCGGACUGUUAUCACGGACACGGAGAUCCAUAUCCUUGGGUCCUUUCAACAUUGUGAUCGAUGCCGUCCAACCGUUGCUAGCCGCGCCGCCCAAGUCCCUCGCCGGGAGGCCGCAUCCCCUGGGAUUCUACGGCCCGGCCGGAAUUGGGCGCGGGGCUUGUCAUGUGCGUGAACAAAAACAGCACCUAUGUUUCAUACUUACAAAUCACAAAACGUCCAAUGAUUUAACAACAAAGUACUUGCAGCAGCAAACUUACUAGAAUACCAAUUCUCAUCAUCUCAUCUCAACAUAUCAAAGAACACACGUAUGCCUCUCAUGCCAACUCAUCGGCACAAUCAACCACUUCACAUAUGGAUCAAUAGCAAGUAAGAUGGUGACUGAAUCAACACAUAUGGCAAGAAAAAUACCAAAUCAAUAGUAGACACCAAGAUUCAUGUGGAAACCCCUUGCGGGAAAAAACCACGAGCGGCGGCAAGCAAUCCACUAUAUGAAGAAGCAAUACAAGAGGUGGGAACCAACAAGGUGGGAAGCUCCAAAUCCCCCACGGAUUUCACUUUCUAUUGGAUGGAUUUGGUGGAUCUAAACCUCUCCUCUCCUUAACCCUAACUCUCGUCCAAGGUGGAAGAACGUAACAGAAUACUUUGUUCCUAUUCGAGUUGGGCUGCCCCUUAAAAUGGCAAACUUGUAAAGAGGCUCCAAAGUUGCAAAUUGUCACAACCAGCCCCAAUUUCAAUAUACAAUAUGUAUAGGCAAUGCUUGCCAUAACAAAUGAGCUAAUGGGCUUCCAAAUUGAUGAAAUUAGGAGCUGGACAUCAGGCACAGGGUUGGCAAAGCUUCGCGCGCGUGCACGCACGCCCAUUGGAUGGAAUUGGCACUUGGCAGAUCAGUGAACGUCCUGUUCGCUGCCGUACGUAGCUAGCUGUGUGACCGCGUCUGUGUGCACGGCGUGCAUGCAUGUGCAUGGCACGCAUCGGUUCAAUUAUUUGCACCGUCAAGUACUUGCAUUGGUUCUUUCUGCAUGCAGUAAAUCACUCAACGCCCAAGGCGAAAAAUGGCCCCUCGGCCGAGUUGGUCGUGUCAUUUUCUUCUUCUUUAGCACCAAGGGGACAGGGUGACGUGUUGCCUGAUCAUCAUCGACCCGGCGGUCGUUGCAACAUCGAUCAAAGCCUACGAAAAGGGUCCACUUUGCAUGCUACAAACGUUGACUGGGGGGCAAGGAGAGAAGAGGCAGGAAAGUACCCAGCUCAGAGCUUGACGCAUCUGAUUUAUUUUCAGUCGGUUGCGUAGCUUAUAUGUUCAUCGUAUAGAUUUCUGAAACAACAAGUAAUUUUCCAGAUAAGAAAUAAACGAGAACAUAUAAAUGCAUGAUAGAAUCUAUGGGACCAAGUAUUUUCUUAAGUGUUUGAAAACAAGAUAGAUUUCACCGUCAAUCUAUGUGAUAGUAGCGCGCGGAACAAUCACGACACGGGUGGAGUACGUAUACACUGGAAGGAUAGCCACAAGAUAUGGCAUGACAUACGCCAGGAGUAAUAGCAGGGAAAAUAAUCGUAAUAAGCAAAUCACCGUCUAAUACUAGUUUGUUUCUCUAGAUCAACAGCAACCACCAUAAUACGUAAGUAGCUGGUUGUUGAUCUUGAUCCAAGAUCCUAAGACGGUGAUCGAGCAAAUAAAUUGUUUUCAUGCACUUGAAAAAUAGCAAAAAUCAAAGGCCUACUACCAAUAUUGGUUGUGAACAAAACAAUCAGCGGAAACAAUACAUAGGAUGAUGGAUGCCGAGAUAUACGGAGGAAAUCAUCAACAUCUUUGCACACAGCUUAAUAUCUCAACUUCAUAUUAUUGAUGACAGUAGUCAACGCAUUGAGGAAACCGGGUAACAAAGGAGUAGCGCGCUACAACACCAAUUAACUAAUUAUUAGCGGUACAAAAGAAGAACACCAAGGUUUAUACCACAUAUCACACCACUUCGAUCAUAAACCCCUGGAUAUUGGUACAGAUACCCAAGAACACAAGGUUCAUCCCCCUAUCUUCAUCCACGUACCCGUCAUCAAGAUACACUACCACCCCCAGAUCAGACCAGAACAAUUGCCAAAGGAUACAAGUUGCCCUAC